CCUACGUGAGGCAGCAGUGAGGAAUAUUGGUCAAUGGGCGAGAGCCUGAACCAGCCAAGUCGCGUGAAGGAUGACGGCCCUACGGGUUGUAAACUUCUUUUGUCAGGGAGCAAUUGGGUCCACGCGUGGGCUUAGCGAGAGUAACUGACGAAAAAGCAUCGGCUAACUCCGUGCCAGCAGCCGCGGUAAUACGGAAGGUCCGGGCGUUAUCCGGAUUUAUUGGGGUUAAAGGGAGCGUAGGCCGGCUGUUAAGUCAGCUGUGAAAGGCCGCGGCUCAACCGUGGAAUUGCAGUUGAAACUGGAGGCCUUGAGUGCACACAGGGAUACCGGAAGUCAUGGUGUAGCGGUGAAAUGCUUAGAUAUCAUGAAGAACUCCGAUCGCGAAGGCAAGUGUCCGGGGUGCAACUGACGCUGAGGCUCGAAAGUGCGGGUAUCAAACAGGAUUAGAUACCCGUGUAGUC
This 461-nucleotide ribosomal RNA is filed under the name uncultured bacterium. RNAcentral describes it as "partial 16S ribosomal RNA". It matches the Rfam family "Bacterial small subunit ribosomal RNA", at positions 338 to 795 of the family's 1533-position model. The record is from RNAcentral.